UCAAGUCGACUGUGGACGCUGACCUUGUUUUCUGGCCGGUCAUGUCGAUCAAAUCUGCCCCCCAGCCCAUCAUUGCGCCUGCCUUCCGACCGGUCAUACCGGUCACUUCUGCCCCCCAGCCGAUCACGUACUGGAGGGCGCCGGUCGUCUUGGUCGCGCCAGUUCCUGCUGAUCGGCUCUGAUUUCCCAUCUCUGGAGCGAGACCUGCUGAACGGCCGAUUGUUAUGAUACGGGCCGUUGCACUCGGGGCAAUUAUCGGCCGAAGGCAACCUGAGGUUGCUUUCCC
RNAcentral lists this long non-coding RNA (286 nucleotides) under Setaria viridis. RNAcentral's name for it is "long non-coding RNA (SVIR_LNC002235)". Lineage: Eukaryota; Viridiplantae; Streptophyta; Magnoliopsida; Poales; Poaceae. The record is from RNAcentral.